This 518-nucleotide ribosomal RNA is filed under the name uncultured bacterium. RNAcentral's name for it is "bacterial SSU rRNA". It matches the Rfam family "Bacterial small subunit ribosomal RNA", at positions 8 to 521 of the family's 1533-position model. The record is from RNAcentral.
AGAGUUUGAUCCUGGCUCAGAUUGAACGCUGGCGGCAUGCCUUACACAUGCAAGUCGAACGGCAGCACGGGGGCAACCCUGGUGGCGAGUGGCGAACGGGUGAGUAAUACAUCGGAACGUAUCCUUGAGUGGGGGAUAACGCAGCGAAAGUUGUGCUAAUACCGCAUGAGCUCUGAGGAGGAAAGUGGGGGACCGUAAGGCCUCACGCUGAAGGGGCGGCCGAUGUCCGAUUAGCUAAUUGGUGAGGUAAAGGCUCACCAAGGCUUCGAUCGGUAGCUGGUCUGAGAGGAUGAUCAGCCACACUGGGACUGAGACACGGCCCAGACUCCUACGGGAGGCAGCAGUGGGGAAUUUUGGACAAUGGGGGCAACCCUGAUCCAGCCAUGCCGCGUGAGUGAAGAAGGCCUUCGGGUUGUAAAGCUCUUUCGUGAGGGAAGAAACGGCCAUAGUGAAUAGCUGUGGUUACUGACGGUACCUCAAGAAGAAGCACCGGCUAACUACGUGCCAGCCGCCGCGGU